Long non-coding RNA from Spinacia oleracea (spinach), 430 nucleotides. RefSeq lists it as uncharacterized. NCBI's taxonomy places the organism in Eukaryota, Viridiplantae, Streptophyta, Magnoliopsida, Caryophyllales, Amaranthaceae. The transcript has 2 exons. The record is from RefSeq and is a predicted model, not a curated record.
UUGUGUGAAAUUGGCAGAAGAUUUGUGGGUUGAGACAGCAAUGGGUGGAUCCCUUAUUUAUGAGGAUAGCAAAUAGUGUUCUUGUAAUACGCAUACAAGAACACUAGCCCAGGAAGAUACUUGAAGAUGAAUAUUUUCUUUCGCGACUGCAAAUCCGGGAGAAGAGGUUAGCUAAAGGUGGAAUUCUCUUAGCUGCUACACUUAAUUUCGUAGUGGAGAAUCACAAACAGAAGACAAACAUCUCUAGUUUAGAAAGAGUAUGAUAACUUCCAUCAGGAAAAUAGGUAAAAUAGUUAAAUAUUUAUAUAUUCGGGUGAAUUUGCAUGCUUAGCUUCAUUGUACCUUUAUUUUGGGGAUUAAGGUUCUGUUUUUUAAUUUUUGGCAAAUUCUUCAUAUUACACUCUUAGUACUGGCUUUUUCAAGAGAUAAA